This 64-nucleotide transfer RNA is filed under the name Franciscoloa funerei. Its description in RNAcentral is "tRNA-Ala". Lineage: Eukaryota; Metazoa; Arthropoda; Insecta; Psocodea; Menoponidae. The record is from RNAcentral.
GGGAUAUUAGUUAAAUAAGUAUAACAUCUAAAUUGCACUUAGAAAUUGAAGCUUUCAUAUCUUA